This 470-nucleotide ribosomal RNA is filed under the name uncultured bacterium. RNAcentral's name for it is "bacterial SSU rRNA". It matches the Rfam family "Bacterial small subunit ribosomal RNA", at positions 28 to 517 of the family's 1533-position model. The record is from RNAcentral.
AAUGAACGUUGGCGGCGUGGAUUAGGCAUGCAAGUCGCGCGAUUUCCUUCGGGGAAGAGCGGCGGAAGGGAGAGUAACGCGUAGAUACCUACCCUCGGGACCGGAAUAGCGACGGGAAACUGUCGGUAAUGCCGGAUAACGUCCCUGGACCAAAGGUGUGAAUCCGCCUGAGGAGGGGUCUGCGUCCUAUUAGCUAGUUGGCGGGGUAACGGCCCACCAAGGCGAAGAUGGGUACCGGGCGUGAGAGCGUGACCCGGCUCACUGGGACUGAGACACUGCCCAGACACCUACGGGUGGCUGCAGUCGAGAAUCUUCGGCAAUGAGCGCAAGCUUGACCGAGCGACGCCGCGUGCGGGAUGAAGGCUUUCGGGUUGUAAACCGCUGUCAGUGGGGAGGAAAUUCUUGGGGGUACUCCCCCUUGAUUGACCGAUCCGCAGAGGAAGGACGGGCUAAGUUCGUGCCAGCAGCCG